RNAcentral lists this ribosomal RNA (383 nucleotides) under uncultured eukaryote. RNAcentral describes it as "partial 18S ribosomal RNA". It matches the Rfam family "Eukaryotic small subunit ribosomal RNA", at positions 592 to 976 of the family's 1831-position model. The record is from RNAcentral.
CAAUAGCGUAUAUUAAAGUUGUUGCAGUUAAAAAGCUCGUAGUUGGAUUUCUGGUAGGAGUGAACGUUCCGAACUUGAUUGUUCGUGUAUUGUGUUUUCUCCAGCCAUCCUUGUGGAGAACUUUUCUUGCAUUAAUUUGUAGGGAUUGGGACCCGCAUCGUUUACUGUGAAAAAAUUAGAGUGUUUAAAGCAGGCAAUCGCUUGAAUACAUUAGCAUGGAAUAAUAAGAUAGGACUUUGGUACUAUUUUGUUGGUUUGCAUACCAAAUUAAUGAUCAACAGGAACAGUUUGAGGAUAUUCGUAUGAACAUGUCAGAGGUGAAAUUCUUGGAUUUUGAUCAGACGAACUACUGCGAAAGCAUUUAUCAAGGAUGUUUUCAUUAA